CUCAUCUAAACUGUAAGCUUUUUGUGUAAAUGCCAUGCUAUUUUACAGAUUGUCUUGCUCACACAGCAAAAUUGCAAAUCACUGAACAAUUAACAACAAGGUUCUUUCUUUCCCUGGAGACUCAAUGAUUUUAUGUCUAGUGCUUCAUAAGUUACAAGACACCUGGAAUUAGGUAGUAAGUAUUUUUCUUUCUUUAGUGUGAGUCUAUAAAACCACAGCAGUUUGUAUUUU
This 231-nucleotide long non-coding RNA is filed under the name Fukomys damarensis (Damara mole-rat). Its description in RNAcentral is "lncRNA (ENSFDAG00000030932.1)". The record is from RNAcentral. Lineage: Eukaryota; Metazoa; Chordata; Mammalia; Rodentia; Bathyergidae.